This 424-nucleotide ribosomal RNA is filed under the name Morococcus cerebrosus. RNAcentral's name for it is "bacterial SSU rRNA". It matches the Rfam family "Bacterial small subunit ribosomal RNA", at positions 1029 to 1454 of the family's 1533-position model. The record is from RNAcentral. Lineage: Bacteria; Pseudomonadati; Pseudomonadota; Betaproteobacteria; Neisseriales; Neisseriaceae.
GUAACACAGGUGCUGCAUGGCUGUCGUCAGCUCGUGUCGUGAGAUGUUGGGUUAAGUCCCGCAACGAGCGCAACCCUUGUCAUUAGUUGCCAUCAUUAAGUUGGGCACUCUAAUGAGACUGCCGGUGACAAGCCGGAGGAAGGUGGGGAUGACGUCAAGUCCUCAUGGCCCUUAUGACCAGGGCUUCACACGUCAUACAAUGGUCGGUACAGAGGGUAGCCAAGCCGCGAGGUGGAGCCAAUCUCACAAAACCGAUCGUAGUCCGGAUUGCACUCUGCAACUCGAGUGCAUGAAGUCGGAAUCGCUAGUAAUCGCAGGUCAGCAUACUGCGGUGAAUACGUUCCCGGGUCUUGUACACACCGCCCGUCACACCAUGGGAGUGGGGGAUACCAGAAGUAGGUAGGGUAACCGCAAGGAGCCCGCU